AACGUAGGACGCGAGCGUUAUCCGGAGUUACUGGGCGUAAAGGGUGGGCAGGCGGCCGUGUCAGAUGGGUGUGAAAUCUCCCGGCUCAACCGGGAGGGGCAACUCGUGACUGCACGGCUGGAGGGCAGCAGAGGCGCGUGGAAUUCCGGGUGGAGUGGUGAAAUGCGUAGAGAUCCGGAGGAACACCAGAGGCGAAGGCGGCGCGCUGGGCUGCAACUGACGCUGAACCACGAAAGCCAGGGUAGCGAACGGG
Molecule: ribosomal RNA, 253 nt
Filed under: uncultured bacterium
Lineage: Bacteria
Description: partial 16S ribosomal RNA
Rfam family: Bacterial small subunit ribosomal RNA
Source: RNAcentral